ACGCUGGCGGCAGGCCUAACACAUGCAAGUCGAGCGGAUGACAGGAGCUUGCUCCUGAAUUCAGCGGCGGACGGGUGAGUAAUGCCUAGGAAUCUGCCUGGUAGUGGGGGACAACGUUUCGAAAGGAACGCUAAUACCGCAUACGUCCUACGGGAGAAAGCAGGGGACCUUCGGGCCUUGCGCUAUCAGAUGAGCCUAGGUCGGAUUAGCUAGUUGGUGAGGUAAUGGCUCACCAAGGCGACGAUCCGUAACUGGUCUGAGAGGAUGAUCAGUCACACUGGAACUGAGACACGGUCCAGACUCCUACGGGAGGCGGCAGUGGGGAAUAUUGGACAAUGGGCGAAAGCCUGAUCCAGCCAUGCCGCGUGUGUGAAGAAGGUCUUCGGAUUGUAAAGCACUUUAAGUUGGGAGGAAGGGCAGUAAAUUAAUACUUUGCUGUUUUGACGUUACCGACAGAAUAAGCACCGGCUAACUCUGUGCCAGCAGCCGCGGUAAUACAGAGGGUGCAAGCGUUAAUCGGAAUUACUGGGCGUAAAGCGCGCGUAGGUGGUUCGUUAAGUUGAAUGUGAAAUCCCCGGGCUCAACCUGGGAACUGCAUCCAAAACUGGCGAGCUAGAGUAUGGUAGAGGGUGGUGGAAUUUCCUGUGUAGCGGUGAAAUGCGUAGAUAUAGGAAGGAACACCAGUGGCGAAGGCGACCACCUGGACUGAUACUGACACUGAGGUGCGAAAGCGUGGGGAGCAAAC
This 745-nucleotide ribosomal RNA is filed under the name uncultured bacterium. Its description in RNAcentral is "bacterial SSU rRNA". It matches the Rfam family "Bacterial small subunit ribosomal RNA", at positions 33 to 773 of the family's 1533-position model. The record is from RNAcentral.